This 379-nucleotide ribosomal RNA is filed under the name uncultured organism. RNAcentral describes it as "partial 16S ribosomal RNA". It matches the Rfam family "Bacterial small subunit ribosomal RNA", at positions 527 to 896 of the family's 1533-position model. The record is from RNAcentral.
GUAGGUGGCAAGCGUUGUCCGGAAUUAUUGGGCGUAAAGCGCGCGCAGGUGGUUCGUUUAAGUCUGAUGUGAAAGACCCCCGGGCUCAACCGGGGGAGGGUCAUUGGAAACUGGGGAACUUGAGUGCAGGAGAGGAAAGUGGAAUUCCACGUGUAGCGGUGAAAUGCGUAGAUAUGUGGAGGAACACCAGUGGCGAAGGCGACUUUCUGGCCUGUAACUGACACUGAGGCGCGAAAGCGUGGGGAGCAAACAGGAUUAGAUACCCUGGUAGUCCACGCCGUAAACGAUGAGUGCUAAGUGUUGGGGGGGUUUCCGGCCCCCUCAGUGCUGCAGCUAACGCAUUAAGCACUCCGCCUGGGGAGUACGGUCGCAAAGACUG